GAUGAACGCUGACAGAAUGCUUAACACAUGCAAGUCAACUUGAACUUCGGUUUGGGUGGCGGACGGGUGAGUAACGCGUAAAGAACUUGCCUCACAGCUAGGGACAACAUUUGGAAACGAAUGCUAAUACCUGAUAUUAUGAUUUUAGGGCAUCCUAGAAUUAUGAAAGCUAUAUGCGCUGUGAGAGAGCUUUGCGUCCCAUUAGCUAGUUGGAGAGGUAACGGCUCACCAAGGCGAUGAUGGGUAGCAGGCCUGGGAGGGUGAACGGCCACAAGGGGACUGAGACACGGCCCUUACGCCUACGGGAGGCAGCAGUGAGGAAUAUUGGACAAUGGACCAAGAGUCUGAUCCAGCAAUUCUGUGUUCACGAUGAAGUUUUUCGGAAUGUAAAGUGCUUUCAGUGGGGAAGAAAAAAAUGACGGUACCAACAGAAGAAGUGACGGCUAAAUACGUG
This 454-nucleotide ribosomal RNA is filed under the name uncultured bacterium. Its description in RNAcentral is "partial 16S ribosomal RNA". It matches the Rfam family "Bacterial small subunit ribosomal RNA", at positions 28 to 507 of the family's 1533-position model. The record is from RNAcentral.